Molecule: transfer RNA, 75 nt
Filed under: Chloroflexota bacterium
Lineage: Bacteria; Bacillati; Chloroflexota
Also listed under: 2 other names
Description: Chloroflexi bacterium tRNA-Thr
Rfam family: tRNA
About the family: Transfer RNA (tRNA) molecules are approximately 80 nucleotides in length.
Source: RNAcentral
GCCGACGUAGCUCAGCGGUAGAGCAGCUGUUUUGUAAACAGCAGGUCGUCAGUUCGAACCUGACCGUCGGCUCCA